AACUAACGCUGGCGGCGUGCCUAACACAUGCAAGUCGUACGAGAAAGCCGGCUUCGGCUGGUGAGUAAAGUGGCGCACGGGUGAGUAACGCGUGGAUAAUCUGCCCUUAAGUGUGGAAUAACGUACCGAAAGGUGCGCUAAUACCGCAUAAUGCCUGGCAACACAAGUUGUCCGGCCAAAGAAGGCCUCUGUUUACAAGCUUUCGCUUCAGGAUGAGUCCGCGUACCAUUAGCUUGUUGUGGGGUAAUGGCCUACCAAGGCUGCGAUGGUUAGCUGGUCUGAGAGGAUGAUCAGCCAACUGGAACUGAGACACGGUCCAGACUCCUACGGGAGGCAGCAGUGAGGAAUAUUGCGCAAUGGGGGCAACCCUGACGCAGCAACGCCGCGUGAGUGAGGAAGGUUUUCGGACUGUAAAGCUCUGUCGAGCGGAAGAAGUGUACCAUGGCUAAUAUCCAUGAUAUUUGACGGUACCGCUAGAGG
This 480-nucleotide ribosomal RNA is filed under the name uncultured bacterium. RNAcentral describes it as "bacterial SSU rRNA". It matches the Rfam family "Bacterial small subunit ribosomal RNA", at positions 29 to 487 of the family's 1533-position model. The record is from RNAcentral.